GAUGAACGCUGGCGGCGUGCCUAAUACAUGCAAGUCGAGCGGACGGACGCGGAGCUUGCUUCUCUGAUGUUUGCGGAGGGCGGGUGUGUCACGCGUGUAUCCCCUCCCUGUCAGACUGGGAUAACUUCGGGACACCGGCGCUUAUCCCGUAUGAUCUUUUGAACCGCAUGGUUCAAAAGUGAAAGACGGUCUUGCUGUCACGUCUAGCGGGAUCCGGGCUGCAUUAGCUAGUUGGUAAGGUCACGGCUUACCAAGGCAACGAUGCAUAACCGACCGGAGAGGGGGGUAGCCGGCACGGGAAGUGAGACAGGGUCCAGGGUCCUACGGGACGCAGCAGUAGGGAACCGGACGCAAUGGGCGGAAGCCUGACGGAGCAACGCCGCGUGAGAGAUGAAGGUCCUCGGAUCGUAAAACCCUGUUAUUAGGGAAGAACAGAUGUGGAAGUAACUGUGCACAUAGUGACGGUACCUAAUCAGAAAGCCACGGCUAACUACGUG
This 497-nucleotide ribosomal RNA is filed under the name uncultured bacterium. RNAcentral's name for it is "partial 16S ribosomal RNA". It matches the Rfam family "Bacterial small subunit ribosomal RNA", at positions 28 to 507 of the family's 1533-position model. The record is from RNAcentral.